GCCGGGCGCGGUGGCGCGCGCCUGUAGUCCUAGCUACUCGGGAGGCUGAGGCAGGAGGAUCGCUUGAGUCCAGGAGUUCUGGGCUGCAGUGCGCUAUGCCGAUCGGGUGUCCGCACUAAGUUUGGCAUCAAUAUGGUGACCUCCCGGGAGCGGGGGACCACCAGGUUGCCUAAGGAGGGGUGAACCGGCCCAGGUCGGAAACGGAGCAGGUCAAAACUCCCGUGCUGAUCAAAACCUAGCUUUUUCUUACCCAUUAACUGUCAUAAGGGGGCAGUAAGAAAAGCAACAAUCCUACAGAGUUAACACUUGCAUUU
This 314-nucleotide signal recognition particle RNA is filed under the name Castor canadensis (American beaver). RNAcentral describes it as "Metazoan signal recognition particle RNA (ENSCCNG00000020910.1)". It matches the Rfam family "Metazoan signal recognition particle RNA". Rfam says of the family: The signal recognition particle (SRP) is a universally conserved ribonucleoprotein. It is involved in the co-translational targeting of proteins to membranes. The eukaryotic SRP consists of a 300-nucleotide 7S RNA and six proteins: SRPs 72, 68, 54, 19, 14, and 9. Lineage: Eukaryota; Metazoa; Chordata; Mammalia; Rodentia; Castoridae. The record is from RNAcentral.